Molecule: long non-coding RNA, 989 nt
Filed under: Sus scrofa (pig)
Lineage: Eukaryota; Metazoa; Chordata; Mammalia; Artiodactyla; Suidae
Description: lncRNA (ENSSSCG00035007203.1)
Source: RNAcentral
GUUGAACCAGCGCCACAGCAGCAACCUGGGCUGCUGCAGUGACAACACAGGAUCUUUAACCCACUGCACCAGAGGAAACCCCUUAUUUGUGUGAUUUUGUGAUUCAUGUUCAUUUCUCCUACUGGACCAUAUUUGCCAUGAACAUAAGGCUGUGUCUUUUUUUCCUUUGCUAUUUUAUCUCUUGUAGGCACUUGAUAAAUAUUUGUUGAAUAGAAUAAUUGUAAAUAGACUGACCCCCCGGAACUGUGAUUAUGCCUGACUUUGGGAUUAGAAGAAUCUGAUAACUCUUUUUUCUGGAUUGCACUUCCUCAUCCUAAAGAAUGACAAAAAAUUUGCACUCCAUCUAGGCCUCUCACCCAGAGGGAACGGAUUUCUAUUCCAAAAAUACAGAGGCGUGAGCCUCAAGUCUGCAUCUUCUAAAACAAGCCAUUAAAGCAAACAAAGAAGUUGAUGUUCUAUAAGAUAUAUUUAAUCAGAUGGCUGCUGCCUGCACAUCCACAGAGCAACUCACGUUCAAAUGAAUUUCCGAAUAAGAUAAUGACAGGACUAAGCUUCCUGAUAUCUUGUUGGAGGAGAUCAUCAAGAGACCAUGACCACUGGUUGACCUGCACCUGGAUCUGGAUGAUCAGAGACUCCCCACCCACAUCUCAUCCUUGGAACCCACGUUCUACCCCCUGUCCCAUGGUGGGAGCCAUUUUCAAGGGCACGGCCUUGAGCGAGCAAUGUGUUGUUAGAGCCAUCUGGACAGUAUAUGGAACUGAUGGUUCACAUUAAGGCCUCUAUAUAGACUUUAUAUAAACUAUACAAACCUCUAUAUAAAGAUUACCACAGCCUUGUAAAUUAACUAUACUUCAAUAAGACUUACAAAAUUAAAAACAGGAAAAAAAAUGUUUGUUAGGACUUCCCAUUGCAGCUCAGCAGGUUAAGAACCUGACGCUGACGUAGUGUCCAUGAGGAUGCAGGUUUGAUCCUUUGCCGUGCCCAUUGAG